GAUGAACGCUGGCGGCGUGCCUAAUACAUGCAAGUCGAGCGAACGGACGAGAAGCUUGCUUCUCUGAUGUUAGCGGCGGACGGGUGAGUAACACGUGGAUAACCUACCUAUAAGACUGGGAUAACUUCGGGAAACCGGAGCUAAUACCGGAUAAUAUUUUGAACCGCAUGGUUCAAAAGUGAAAGACGGUCUUGCUGUCACUUAUAGAUGGAUCCGCGCUGCAUUAGCUAGUUGGUAAGGUAACGGCUUACCAAGGCAACGAUGCAUAGCCGACCUGAGAGGGUGAUCGGCCACACGGGAACUGAGACACGGCCCAGACUCCUACGGGAGGCAGCAGUAGGGAAUCUUCCGCAAUGGGCGAAAGCCUGACGGGGCAACGCCGCGUGAGUAAUGAAGGUCUUCGGAUCGUAAAACUCUGUUAUUAGGGAAGAACAUACGUGAAAGUAACUGUGCACAUCUGGACGGUACCUAAUCAGAAAGCCACGGCUAACUACGU
This 496-nucleotide ribosomal RNA is filed under the name uncultured bacterium. Its description in RNAcentral is "partial 16S ribosomal RNA". It matches the Rfam family "Bacterial small subunit ribosomal RNA", at positions 28 to 506 of the family's 1533-position model. The record is from RNAcentral.